RNAcentral lists this ribosomal RNA (460 nucleotides) under uncultured bacterium. RNAcentral's name for it is "partial 16S ribosomal RNA". It matches the Rfam family "Bacterial small subunit ribosomal RNA", at positions 338 to 795 of the family's 1533-position model. The record is from RNAcentral.
CCUACGGGUGGCAGCAGUGAGGAAUAUUGGUCAAUGGGCUUACGCCUGAACCAGCCAAGUCGCGUGAGGGAAGACUCCCCUCUGCGUUGUAAACCCCUUCUGUCAGGGAGCAAUUGGCGCUACGUGUAGCGUUAUCGAGAGUACCUGACGAACAAGCAUCGGCUAAGUCCGUGCCAGCACCCGCGGUAAUACGAGGGAUGCGAGCGUUAUCCGGAUCUAUGGGGUUUAAAGGGUGCGUAGGCGGAAUGCCAAGUCAGCGGUAAAACCGCGGGGCUCAACCUCGCUCCGCCGUUGAAACUGGCGUGCUUGAGUGGGCGAGAAGUAGGCGGAAUGCGUGGUGUAGCGGUGAAAUGCAUAGAUAUCACGAAGAACUCCGAUUGCGAAGGCAGCAUACCGGCGCCCAACUGACGCUGAGGCACGAAAGCGUGGGUAUCGAACAGGAUUAGAUACCCUUGUAGUC